This 512-nucleotide ribosomal RNA is filed under the name Enterobacter hormaechei. Its description in RNAcentral is "partial 23S ribosomal RNA". It matches the Rfam family "Bacterial large subunit ribosomal RNA", at positions 1236 to 1746 of the family's 2925-position model. Lineage: Bacteria; Pseudomonadati; Pseudomonadota; Gammaproteobacteria; Enterobacterales; Enterobacteriaceae. The record is from RNAcentral.
GCGUUCUGUAAGCCGUUGAAGGUGUGCUGUGAGGCAUGCUGGAGGUAUCAGAAGUGCGAAUGCUGACAUAAGUAACGAUAAAGCGGGUGAAAAGCCCGCUCGCCGGAAGACCAAGGGUUCCUGUCCAACGUUAAUCGGGGCAGGGUGAGUCGACCCCUAAGGCGAGGCCGAAAGGCGUAGUCGAUGGGAAACAGGUUAAUAUUCCUGUACUUGGUGUUACUGCGAAGGGGGGACGGAGAAGGCUAUGUCAGCCGGGCGACGGUUGUCCCGGUUUAAGCAUGUAGGCGGAGGUUCCAGGUAAAUCCGGUACCUUAUUAACGCUGAGGUGUGAUGACGAGGCACUACGGUGCUGAAGUGAUAAAUGCCCUGCUUCCAGGAAAAGCCUCUAAGCAUCAGGUAACACGAAAUCGUACCCCAAACCGACACAGGUGGUCAGGUAGAGAAUACCAAGGCGCUUGAGAGAACUCGGGUGAAGGAACUAGGCAAAAUGGUGCCGUAACUUCGGGAGAAGG